Non-coding RNA from Rattus norvegicus (Norway rat), 25173 nucleotides. NCBI's taxonomy places the organism in Eukaryota, Metazoa, Chordata, Mammalia, Rodentia, Muridae. The record is from RefSeq and is a predicted model, not a curated record.
UGCUGUGAGCUUCAUCAGCCAGCUGUGUCUGCAGAGACAUGGUCUCUCAGGCUGCCCAUUCUCUAGCCUUGAGGGGGUUCAGCCUGUAAGACACCCUGGCAGGAAAUAGGGAGACCCUUCCCUCUGGACACUGGUGGUACUGGCUACAUGGUGUGCUGGCACUAUGUCACAGAGCUGUGAGCAUCUCACCCCAGCUCCGCACUUAGUGACAUCACACUGGUACCCAGGAAUCAACAAACACCAGAACUCAGGGACUCCACCCAAGAAGCCAGUUGUUAAACAGUCACACCACACACUAGAUUUUUCUUUGAAGCCCAGCUUCUACUGGAAGUCCCCUCUCAAUGACAACAGCUCUGGAAUCUAUUUUCAGGCUUACUCCAGGAGUCCUGCACACACACACACACACACACACACACACACACACACACACACACUCAGGCUUACUCCAGGACUCUUGCACACACACACAUGCACACCCACACUCAGGCUUACUCCAAGACUCUUGCACACACACACACACACACACACACACACACACACACACAGGCCUAUGGGGAAUAAUGAUCUUGUGAGCACAGCCUCAUCUCUCAGCUCACAAUUGGGCUCUUUCAGCCUCGCCCGCCCAUUUAAUGUUAUCUGUUCUCUACAGCAACCGACCAUAGCCUGGAGAGCUUCCCAGGGACAGCUGGAAUCAGAUAACUGGAAAAGAAAUCAGUAAAAACUAUGAUGCUUCCCCAAGAUGGACCACCACCGCUCAGCACCUAAGAGUCUUGCUGUGAUGGUGUGGGCCAGUAAUGGCCGGACUCAUGAGCUCCCAGACAGAAUGCCACGGCCACCAGGAGGAAGACUAGACAUUUUCUGAUUGGAUAAAACUGGUCAGACUAAAAUGAGCAACGGCAGACAGAAACAUACAGCCGCCACUCCCACCACAGUUCAGAAACACUAGAGUCAUGACCCAGGCUAAGCUUAACUUAACCCACAUCCUCCGGGACCUGGUUCCCACCAACUCUACAAGCAUGUCCAGCCCAGCAGAGAGGAGGCCAGCAUCCCAAAGGCAUGCCAGUGCCUAAAGUGGAUAAGAAAAUAUUUAGAGAGAAAUCAUGUGAACCAGAAGAGCAUUUUCCCAGGAGCGCCACAUAAACAGGCCAUGGAGUGGGAACUACCGAAUGAAAGCGACUUGGAAAGGGCAGGUAUCCUACUCUAAUACCCAACAGCGUGGGCAGAGUAAGUCACUCCACCCCUCCGAGGAAGCCACUCGUGUAGCUUUAGACAGAAAACCUGAUGAGAGUCAUAGCUCAAACUGAGUCUGUGUCUGGUGGCUUCCCUUGAAGGUUUAAUGGCUCAUGUUGAAUUUUGUCAUCUCUCUUUGUGGGUUUGGCUUAGUGAAUGCCCAUCAAUGGUGGGAUGGUAUCUUGGGAGCCUAACUGGCUGACUGCUUCCUCUGUUUAAAAGGAGACGUGUGUUUUCACAUGCACAUGACGUGUAUGUGUUUACAUGCAUGUAUUUACAUGCAUGUGUUUAUAUGCACCCUGCCUGUAUAGGUGCCUUCGGAGGACGGAGGGUGUCAGAUCCCUCAGAACUAGAGCUUCGGGUGGUCAUGAGCUGCCUGGUGUGGGUGCUAAAAAUGAAAUCCGGGUGCUCUGCAAGAGCAGUCAGUGCUCUCAACCUCGGAGCCACCUCUGCAGGCCUUGCUGCUUCCUCCACCUCUGUGACAUUUGGGUCCUUUAGCGUCUGUUUCUUCUGUUGCGCAUCGUAUCUUAAACUGGCACUGACAACAUUUUCAGCUCUCUGACUGAUGGUACAGAAAGAAAGCCUCUGCUUUUAUUAUCAUUAUUAUGAUGUAUACGAGAGGGGUGUGAGGGGGAAAGAGAGAUGGAGAGGGAGGUUUUGCGUGUGUUCUGAAAUUGCUCAAGAAGCUUCAUUCGUAGCUGAUAGACAUCGGAAAGCCACACCCAAGGAGGCGACCUCACUGUGCCUUUGCUUAUGGGGACCUGGGAGGAGCAGUACACAGAGAGGGCAGGCAUGCAGUGGGCAAGAGACAGCGAAACCCACAGAGCCCCUCAGGAAGCUGGCUGGCCAUGAGUUGGGAACAGCUGAGGGCGUGCAGGGCAAAGUGCAGCUCUAUAAAUAGCGGACGGCACCCAUGCUCAAGGAAGGCAGGACAAGAAGGGUGGAGUGACACUGGCCUGCAUGCUUGCAAACUAAACCCCUGUAGGACAUCAUUGAGGCCAGCGGGGAUCUACUAGUGUCAGGGGUGACAAAGAGAUAAAAGGCCCCUGGCUCCUGAACUCAGCACAGUGUAGCUGAAAUAAAACAGGCACAGCUGAGAGAGAGCUCGGUGUGCAGGGCAGCGUCCUAGAGAAAUACUUUUUUUCUUUUUGAAGCACACUUUGAAAAUUUGACCUUCGGUGGUUAAAAAUAAGGUUCCAAACACACACAUGAGCUAUUUCUUGCGUCCAUGUUUCCAUGACUGAGACAUCCCGUGGCUUAUAACUUGAUGUCGCCCUCGCUCCUCUACUCAAAGUCUUUUAAGGCUCCCACAGCUCUUGAAGAAAAAGCCAGAAUCCUUUGAGAGAGUGAAAGACAAGCCACAGACUGGGGAAAGAUAUUUGCAAGACCCCAAAGACCUCUAUUCUGGGGUUGGAGAGCAUUUUAAGAGUACUGACUGCUCUUGAAGAGGAUCCAGGUUCGAUUCCCAGCACUUAGAACCAUCUGCGGUGGCUCACGACCACCUGUAACUCUGGUUCCAAGGGAUCCAACACCUGAGAUUUCCUGCCUGUAGGUUCCUGCCCUGACUUCCCCCAGUAAUGGAGUGACCUGAGAGCUGUAAGACAAAUAAACCCACGUUGUAGAUCACAGCAACAGGAUCAAAGUAAGAGUCCGCCCUGGAAGACAACAGGGAAAAACCACCAUGCAUCCAUCUAGGCCAUGUCCACAGACACGAUGGGAACUACUAUAGGAGGAUGGCUUCGAAGCUGUGCCCUUUGAUGCUGUGGAGUGGACGUACACCAUCACACACUUGUCAAGACUCAAGCUGAGAGGAGCCUAGGAAACUGGACCUGGGUGACUAAUCACUAUUAUCUAAAUGUCCCUGCAGCUCAUGGUGAUAUCCGACCUCUUGAAAAGCUAACAGCCACAGCAGGAGGGGUGUCUAAUGAAAAGGGGGAGCCUGGCCUGCUUCUCUCUGCCCCUUAAGUGCUCACGUGCCCUUCUGCCGUGCUAUGACGUGACACCAAAGCUCUUCCCGAGGGUGGCUCUGGUAUCUCCACCUUUGUGGCCUCUAUCCCUGGGGUCAGCAAGCUCUGAUCUCUGAUCUCUGCUGCAGCAGAGGGAAACCGAGACAAUAAUCACAUAUCAAUAUUCACCAUUAUUUGUACCGAGCACAUCAUGCCUAUAGGGAUGCUGGCACAGGGAGGCUGUGGGGGACAGAGGGGUACGAUACAGGAACUGGUUGCACUUUGUGCUCAAUGUUUCCGGGAACCUCAAACAGUUCUGAUCACGGCCAUCUGCUUCGGCCUCCUCAGUCACUUCAGGCUCCCACCCUAACACCAUCAAGCCAGCUGCUGUCUCACUCGUGUGAGCCCUGCUCUUCCUGGGCCUGGUCAGGCCUCUCCUACCUUAAGACCUUUACACUUGCUAUCCUCCCAGCCAGAUCAUUCUCCUCCAGGGUGUUUGGACGGGUUUCUGUUCAGCUGACACACCUCAGGAACAGCCACCCUGACUUCCUGGUGUAAGCUGCCCCACUCCCCACGCUCCUCCUCCCCCUCCCCCUCCCUCUCUCCUGUUAGGCCUGUUUCCUUGCCUGCUUCUUCCUAAGGGUGAAAUCUCAUCCGCAUCCUCUGGUCUUGGGACUCCUCAUCCCAACCACCAGGACGAUGGGCCUAAAACUUUCAAAUGUACAUCUCAGAUUAAAAGAUUUUUUUUCUCUAAACUCCUUAACUUUACCUCUGUCUCUGUCUGUCCCACCAGACUUCAGAUCAACUACAGACUGCUCCAACAAUUCCAGGGCCAAUCACCAAUCGUCUCCUCAGAAUCUACAUCCGGGGCCCACCCUCACGGAGUGCACUUCCCUAACCUCAGAUGGUCCCAUGGAACCUGGAUAUCGACUGAAACAGCCUGUUCUUCCCGGCCUUGACCAGCUGCAGAAAGCAGCCAGAGAGAAUGACGCCCACUUGCCCAAUACCUAAUUAUAAAACUCAAUAAUAAAACAAAAGAUGGGUCGGAGGGGCUCCAGCAGGGACGGGCACACUCUGGUAAGCCUUGCCCUUCCCCCACUCUCUGUGCCUGGCUAAACUGUUGGAUUCCAUUCCUAAAGCUACUCACCAAGGUCUGUUCCCUUAUUUGGCUACUGCCUCCUCCUGAGACUGACCACCAGGUCCAGCUGUCAAAGCAUUGAAGCCUAGCAAUCAACUCCCCCCCAUUGGCUCACCUGAUUAACAUGCCUAAUGAAAUUAAAUACCUCAUACUAACACAAGUUUCCCCUUUCACCCUCAUAGCAUCGGCCAUUUUCCCAUAGGCAUGUCUGUCUCCUCUCUAUCCAGAGGCAGUCCUUUGUCCCUCCUGGGCAAACAUCCCUUUCCCCUUUCCUUUGUUCCCUUCCCCUUCUCCUUUAUCCUCCAUCUCCUGUCUUUGUCUCUUACUCCCUACCCCUCUGGGGUAGAUAAAUCUUGUGCUGAGAACCUGGGGUGUCUUGUGAUGAUUCUGUCCCUUCAUUUAUCCCCCUGAGCUCUUCGGUAAUAAACGGCUUGGGAACUCUCUUCCUUAUUGUUCUACUGCCGUGCAGAGACACCAAGACCAAGGCCAUUUAUAGAAGGUAUUUGAUUGGAGACUUGCCUACAGUUCCAGAGGGUUACAGUCCAUGGACAUCAUGGUGGGGACCAUGGUGCUGGAGCAGUAGCUGAGAGCUCAGUCAAAGCCCACGCCUCCUCUAACAAGGACGCACCUUCUAAUUCUCCCUAAACCGUCCACCACUGGGAGCAAAAUAAAGACAGAAGAGUGGAGACCGGUCUCAUUCAAACCAUCAGAGGGACAAAUUUAAGCAAAUAUGAUAUGUCUAGGCGCUUGAUACUUUUUUCAGUGAAUUAGUAAAUUAAGGACCCAUGUCUAAAAACCUCUAACUGCCAAUGUUGCCUUGACUGUAGCCCCAAAUAUGAUGCUGAUGGCAGUUAUAACGUCUGGUUCCAAAAAGUCAACAGUCCUGGCCCGUAGCCUGCGACACACCUCCCGUGACUCUGUCCUUGUCUGGGCACCAGUGUGCACUUGCACCAGACAGCCAUGAAGGGACGAAGCAAUGGAUGCUCACCCCAGGGCCGCUGGGAUGCAUGGUCCAUUAUCCACCCAAACUGAAGCUUAGGACAGACCAUUCUGAUGUAAGACUUAAAACAACCUUAAACCGUCUCCUUGGAAACAGAGAGCAAAUGUUACAGGAAAGAACCAUCCUCUUGGCUUUACCUAAAGACCACAACUCUUCUGGGUGCCCCUGGCCUGUUUCUGCUUCAGGCUGCUGCCCUAGGGCUCCCCUGCUCUUGGCAUGCUGCUGUGUGACAGUUGCCUCUGAGAUUGCAACACUCCAUCCGGCAGGGAAGCUCCUUAAGCAGGAAGGUGAUCGACUCAGAAUAGCUUCAGGAAGUCCCUUAAACUGACCAGAUUCAGCAGGCCUGCAAGAGUAAGUACUAGAAGCUGGGAGUCCCCCUCAGACAGGUGCAGUUAAUCUGCAAAGGAGACUCUGAGGCCAGACCAGCAGUCUGGAAGAAACUAACGCUGCCAGGAGGAGGUUUUGAGGAACCAAGGCACCUGGGAAGGACACUCUCCAACCUGUCGAGCUGCCUGAAGGCUGUGCACACAGCUCCAGGUUCCUAGCUUGUGAACUCCCACCCAUAUGAGGUGGGCACCAGUGAUGUCACCGGUGAUGUCACCGGUCAGUCAUUUCUGCAUCUGCAUCCCUUCAUCCAUAUUCCUGUAUCAAAACUCACUGCCCCACCAAAUUGGGUUUUAGUGGUAUCCAUACUUCUGUCUGUUUUGGGCUCCCUAUCUGGGGUGGGGGGGGACAGAUGCAUAUGUGUGUCUCCCCAGGAAAAGUUUUGUCACACAACACAUGCGCACACUGGGUCUGGGGGAUCCACUUCCUGCAGGUGUAUCAGGGCAUCGACGUAGCCUCUGCUGCCAAAGAGGCUCUGGUUUCAAAGCUCGCCCCUCUAUCACUGAGGGAAAUCGCUGGCCCCUUCACCUGCCUUGAUGUGGCCGCCCCUGAGAUCUGCGUGUUUCCUUGGGCUGUGUUACAUGGUCUCCUAAGUUUCAUGUGAGGACUCUAUGUAGACCUCAACAACUCUGACUUUUCAGGAGAAACCGACUUUAAAGAGCAAUGAGGAACCACAGAGCCAGGCUGGACCGGAGGCUGACACAGACAGAGGGGAAGGGGCGAGCAGGGCGGCUGCCCACGCUGACCUAGGCACCAGCUCACAAGCGCUGGCUCAGCUCAAGGUAGCUCCAGGGGAGGGGGACAGCCUGGCUACUCUCUCAACUUCCCUCCUGCUGGGCAUAUUUGCAGACGUGUCCUUGGUUUAGCACCUCUGCCUCCUCCAUCAUCCCUGCUUACUUUUUGUCUAUUUAAGAAGAGUUUUACUGGGGGCUGGGGAUUUAGCUCAGUGGUAGAGCGCUUACCUAGGAAGCGCAAGGCCCUGGGUUCGGUCCCCAGCUCCGAAAAAAAGAACCAAAAAAAAAAAAAGAAGAAGAGUUUUACUAAUGUGUUAAUAUUUUGGCAACAUUAUUGCAACGAGUUUAAAAGGCAGACAGACUAGUCUAGACUUUAAAGGAACAAAUGAGGGUUGUACAAUUAAAUUAUUACACAGAGCUAAGGAGUUUACUGAAUCACUACAAGGCCCAGAAAACAAAUUAAAUCUGAAACAUUAAAUCCAGUAUUAGCACCUACAAUAUCUCUAAAAAUUCAACUUGUAACUGCUUUGUUCAUUCCUUAUGUCUCUUAACUUCUCCCAAACAUGGUGCUCUCAAACUCCUAAAAGAAAGGACAUAAGAAAUUCCAAUACAGAGAGGACAGAGAUAAAGAAGAGCUGGGAAAAUUAACUUGGGUCAGUUCCCUAGGUGGCUUUAUAAUUCCACAAGUAGUAUCUUAGCUCAGUUCUUCCCCAGAUUAGCAACAGGCUUCGAGGGUGUGUUAUGCCUGUGGUCCCGCUAACCCGCUGCCCGGAUUCCCCGUGCUACCAGCCUUGGUGCUCCAGCUCUUAAGACUGAUUCCUACCGUUCAGUGUCAGAAGCUCCUUGAGAGAAUAAUCCGUACUUGUUUCAGUAUUGCGGUCAUUAUUAAAGCAGUAUUUAAUAUAGUUCUGGUUAUUUCUUUGAAGCCAUUUCUGUUAAUGUGCAUUACCUCGAAAUGUUGGGGAGAUAUUGUGUGUGUUGCUUGUUCAUAAGAUACAUAACAGAGGACUGGAGAGAUGGCUCAGAGGUUAAGAGCACUGACUGCUCUUCCCAGCAACCACAUGGUGGCUCACAACCAUCUAUAAUGGGAUCUGAUGCCCUCUUCUGGUGAGUCUGAAGAUAGCUACAUUGUAUUCAUAUAUGAUAAAUCUUUAAAGAUUCAUAACAGAUACAUAAGCCAGACACCCGGCCACCAGAUACCCUGCCCCAGCUCCGCCCCAGUGUGUGAUGAGCAGGCACCUUAAACACCUAAUUCUAGUUUUGUUACAGAUGUAACUUAGGAGAAAAAAGUGAUAGGAAUAACACUGUAUGUUGCUAAUUUGUAACCUACUGUGAACUCUGAUUCAUAGCCUCCUCACAUACAGUACUUGGGGCACAGAAAUCUUUCCAUUGACUGGGGUAAGUUUUGGCUUCCCUGCUUACUUCUGAGCCCCUGCCAGGAGAUUGACCUUGGUGGUUCUUUUCUCAGACCUGAGCCAUCCACCGGUCUCUCUUUCUGCAGUCUGGUUUUCUGUGGAGAUGUUCUUUCUCUUCCAUUGCUGUUUCUCAAAGCUUCCUCAUGAUGGCUCUCUCAGGAUUCCCCGGGGCAUGGCUCUAGAAUCAUCUCAAUAGACAAAAGUUGACCACAGGACUUCCACAAAGCCCCUUAAGACUGUGUGUGUUGACCGGAGCUAAGACUCGAGGGCCCCAGAGGGUCCUAUGCAUUUCAGUGGUCUGUGGUCUGCUGGGACAAGUACUGUUGGUUCUCAGCAGAGGCUGACCUAUAGCCUACGAGGAGCUAACGUGACUACCAGCUAGUCUCAGUCUGUGUGGAAAUGGGAAGUCUAGCUUAAACCAGGCCCCACUAGCUUCCUCAGACAGAGGACUGGGAUAGCCCAGAGCAAGGACAACCAUUCUCAUGUCCCUAGAGGCAGUGUGGGAGCACAGGAAGCCUGCCUAUGCAUCACAAAGAAAAACACGUCAAAAGGAGGCCAGUAGACUGGUACAGUGGACAAGCCACAGCCACACCCAGGAGUUUGUUUAUGAUCCCCCACAAAGCCUUGCUAGGAGAGAAUCCAGGUAGACAGAUUCUGUUGUUUGUUUGGGGGCACUUCUAGAGGGCCUUGUCUCUCUUGGUCCCUUGGCCCUGAAUGCUGAGUAGACUCCAUCACAGACCCCUGGACCAGCGUCCCGAGUGUGGUCUCUCAGCAGAUGGUACACCUCCCAUUCCAGAGGAAGUUUUUAGAUGCACAGACACAUAUAGGGACUCCUCUUCUUAAACAAGUUCAAAACCCCUAUCCAACCCAAACAGGAUUUCUUUCCCCUCUUCCUGCCUCCACAUCCCAAUGCAGCAGAAGUCAACCCAGGCAGACACUGGGAUUCCACUGUCUAAGCACAAAAGACACUAGGAAGGAACUUCUGGGCAUUGAGGAGCCCCUCUAGGGUGGCCAUGCAGUCUAUUCACCUGGGCAAGAGUCCCUAUGGCACAUAGUCCUGGUACUUCACGAUUUUUUCAGUAGGCUGCUCAUGGCUCUCAACUGAGGGCCCCCAGAGCAUCAGCCUUCUUUCUGACCUUGGUGAGAAUGCAGGUUCUCAGGCCUGGCCCCAGCCUGUGAGAUCUGGAAUUCUGUCGGUGAGAACCAACAGUCGAAGAUUUCAUGAGCCAAUGUUGGGGUUUUUAACCCAGAACCAACUUGAGCCAAAGGUAACAGAAGUGACCAACCAUGACAGAGGAAAUGCAAACCCCGUGAUUCCUAAGUGACACUGGAGACUGCUGACAUUUUAAUAUGCUAGGCCACCUCUGUGGAGAGGAGAGGACGAGCCGGCCAGCCAGGAACCCAGUAAUGAGAUACCUCUGCCAUGCCCACUGUGACUCUCCUCGAGGCCUCUCGCGAGAAGGUGGAAAGCAGCGAAACUCGAGGCAUUUGUUUCCUCAGUCAUGGAAACGGAGCUGGACUGGGUUGGAUCAAGCUGGUUUUAAUGCUUCAAGUUGGAAAAAUAAUCCCCGAGAGACUCGCUCACAUCGAUCGCAUGGUAUUCAGCGGUGCUGAUCCGACAAAACAACUUGUUGGUUUGCUCCCCUCCCUGGUUGCCAUGGUUAUGUGACACGCUGUGAGCCCUUACUACGUGGAGAAAGAAACAAAGCCCAGGGGUCCACGGAGAGAUGGAAUUGUAACAAAUGACCUUCACCUUCAACAUGAGCUUGACAGAAACUCUACACUGGCAUCCAUGAAAUGCUUGACGUCUCCCAGACCCAGACUCUGACGUGUCGACUACAAGACACACACUGCAGACAGCGUUUUUAGAGCAGGGUCAGUCUUCCCUUAAAAGCCACCCACUGCCUAAUGACACAGCACGGGUAUAUUCGUGAGCUGAAGGUGACCAUCUUGGAAGUUCUCAGGGCAUAACUGUUUACAAUCAGCACAGCACAUGCUGGACUUAACCCAAGGACUCUUCACUGUGAAGAAAAAGGGACAGACUUUAAAAGAUGGGACACAAAAGAAACAUACCCUAGGCAUAUGUCCCUGGAGCUGCUGGGGCAGAGUACAGUUUGGUAGAGCACCUACCUGGAGAAAAACGUACCCGAGGGUCCACUCCUGCUGACGAAUUCCCUACACGGUUUAUGAAGGCGGGGCUUCCAGUUGAGUCCGCCACAAAUGCUGUAAGUUCCCGCACCUGCUUUCUGCAGGCAUUCAGAUAUUUGAACUCUUGCUCAGUGAGACCAACAUACUCUUGCACCUCCAUUUCCGCCCGCCAUGCCCUGCUAGCUCCAGGCUCUCUCCUUCAACCCAUCUCCUCAACACAGGGCCUUUGCCAAGGUCACCAAGAUAAGUGCGGCCCUAGCCAGUCUGACUGAGCCUGAGGACAUUGAGUGAACACAGGUGGGGCACCCUUCCCUCAUGGUGAUGAGUCUUUCGGUGACACGCCUCAACCUCCCAGCAGCAUUCGGCUCUGUUGCCCUCCACCUUCCAGCCAUUGGCCUUUGCCUGACUGCCCUGGGCACGGUCCUUGGUCUCCUGGUCUCCUAGGUACUCUCUGGCCGUCAUUCAUUUCUGUCGUGGCCUUGGGCCUUCCCACACCUGCAGUGUAUAAUGGCCCCUGUGAAAUCUCAUCUGCCUACAGCUCCAAGCCUUGUCUCUAAACUGUCACUCCCAGACUUAUAACUGGCCAUUGCCCCCGUCCCCGAUGCCACAGCUCUGCAGACACUGCUACCAAAUGCCCCAUAUCACACUCAUGACCCCACGGAGCAGCCAGGGCUCUCGUGGCUGGUCCUGCUGAGCUUCCACAGAUCAAUAGGGACUGGAAAGGCCUUUCCCAGGUAGCCUGCAUCAAGGCCACUACCGUCUUCUCUUGUUGCCCUCUCACCCUGCCCCUCCUCUGUUUUCUACCCUAUGAUAGGAGUACUGCUGUCUAAACACUUAGCCAAUCGUGAUUCGAAGCCUUGAGAACGCCUGGCCCAGCAGGCCCUCUGCUGUCUUCCCUCUCUAUCCCUCAGAGAACACUCUGUUUCAGGCCUGGACCAUCCGACACAGGUCUAGAGAACCAGGUCACCCUGGGCCAACCAGGGCCUCUAUCUAGUGCAUGUGUCCCCUGCUCCACAUAGCCACCAUCUGCCAGGGCUCAUUGUGAGGCUGCAGCCUUCCCUAAGCCACACCUCGGUCCCAUCUGCCAAGGGUCAGCCGGGUCCUGCUCCUGUGCAUACUUGGAAAUCUGCCUCCUGCGGUCCGAGCACAUAGCUCCUUCCUAGAACAGCCAGCUCACACCGUUUCUUCAGUUAUUCACACACACACCCCGCCCCCACGGCUCUUGGAACAUAGUAAACACUCACACAAGAUUUCGUGAGAAAGACACAAAUGAACGGGGAGCCUCUCUGCCUCAACUCCCCACCCCCAACAUAAUGCAAGUACGGUAGUCACCUUGGCCUUUAAAACUAUGCACGUCUUCUGCAUUCCCAAGGAGACUCAAACGUACAGAACAGCCAGAGUGGUGAGCCAAAGUCCCAUUCCCCCUACAGAAGCGGGUGAUGGAUACUGUCCCGUGCCACUCAUUGUGACAUCCAUGGGCAGUGUGAUGGUUUGCAUAUGCUUGGCCCAGGAGUGGCACUGUUAGAAGGUGUGGCCUUAUUGGAGGGAGUGUGUCACUGUGGGGUGGGCUUGGAGACCCUCCUCCUGGCUGCCUGAGGAUGCUCAGUCUGUUCCUGGCUUCCUUCAAAGGAAGAUGUAGAACUCUCAGCUCCUCCUGCACCAUGCCUGCCUGGACGCUGCCAUGCUCCUGCCUUGAUGAUAAUGGACUGAACCUCUGAACCUGUGAGCCAGCCCCAAUUAAAUGUUGUCCUUAUAAGAGUUGCAUUGGUCAUGGUUUCUCUUCACUAAGACAGGCAGUAUCGAUGAAGACAGAUCUUUGCCUUCUCGGGUUUAUCGGUAAGGUUCUCCCCGACUCCAACUUUGGUUUUCCUUGUCCUUUCGCUGUGGAUGGCAACUGACACUUUUUAUUUCAGAUUCAAACCGUUUUUUGCUGAAUACAUUUUGCAGGAAUACAAUUGUGUUUUGUGUAUACGUCCUGCUAAACUCCCUUGUUGGUUCUUCUGGCUGUUUUAUGGUACACAUCCAACUUUCUAUACAGGCAACUACGUGGUGUGGUGUCUAUGUAGAAAGGAAACCUUACCUCCUUUCCAGAUGGGCACUGAGGCCUCUUUCCUUCUCAGACAUCAUGGCAGGGUUAAGCAGGGGGGAAGCAGCUCAUCCCCUGAUUACACCAGUGGCUGUGGAUCCCACAGCAGCCCCUUCUGCAGGCCAGGUCACCUCUCUUCCUCACCCGAGUAGCCAGCAGGUUGUCUCAGAAAUGGAUGAUGGAUGACUCUGGAUGCUUUUCUGCAUCUAUGGACAUAAUCCUGUGGUUUUUCUUUUGUAGAUUAUUAACAUGGUCAAUUAUAUUGAUGGGUUUCCAGCUGUGGAACAUGAUUCCCAAGACUGGUCCCUCGUGGUAAUGAACAUACAUAAUGCUUAGAGGCUUUUUUUUUUUUUAAUGAACAUGGUGUUUUGCCUGCAUGUGUGUGUACCAUGUGCAUCCAAUGCCUACAGGGGUUAGAAGAAAGCACCGGACUCCUGGGGCUACAUUAUAACCAGUGCUCCUAACCACUGCACCAGCUCUCCAGUGCUCCUAACCACUGCGCUAUCUCUCCAGUGCUCCUAACCACUGCGCCAUCUCUCCAGUGCUCCUAACCACUGCACCAGCUCUCCAGUGCUCCUAACCACUGCACCAGCUCUCCAGCGCUCCUAACCACUGCACCAGCUCUCCAGCGCUCCUAACCACUGCACCAGCUCUCCAGCGCUCCUAACCACUGCACCAGCUCUCCAGCGCUCCUAACCACUGCACCAGCUCUCCAGCGCUCCUAACCACUGCACCAGCUCUCCAGCGCUCCUAACCACUGCACCAGCUCUCCAGUGCUCCUAACCACUGCACCAGCUCUCCAGCGCUCCUAACCACUGCACCAGCUCUCCAGUGCUCCUAACCACUGCACCGGCCCCCACUAGAUUCAUUUUUUUAAGCUUUACCCUUAAGUUUAUGAAGGUCAUAGGUUGAUGAUAUCUAUCCUUACGAUAUCUUUGUCAAGUUUGUCCUUAGGGUGAGGUUCACUGCUUAGGAUAAUGCAGGAAAUAUUCUUUACCUGGAAGUUUUGGAAGACUUUAUGAAGAAAAACUGGCUUUGUUUUCCCCCAAAACACUCGGUAAAUCAUCCAGGGACAUUAUCUCACCCGGAAUUUUCUUUAUGGGAGGUGUUUUCCUCUCCAAACCUGAUUUCCAGACAAAAUGUAGGACUAUUUGGGUCAUUGGCUUCCUCUCGAGUAAGCUUGGGACGUUCGUGCUUUCCAGGGGCCUUGUGCACUUUGUCUAAGCUGUGGAAUUUACUGGCAAAGGAGCAGUACCUACUGGCACAGCUUCCCUCCUGAAGCAACGCCCACCAUGAGCCCUCUUACCAGUGGGCUCUGCCCACGCCGCUGGCUGUGUCUUCUCUCCUUUGUUCUCCAUCAGGUGCAGCUUCUCUAGGACUUGUUCUUCUGUAGGACUUUUAUAUUCCAUGAUUUCCUUUCUGCUCUUUUUUUUUUUUAAGGGCAAUCUAAUAAAUACUUCUCUAUGACUGCACACGGGGUAAGGCCGCGCGGGGGUUCAGAAAGAUCAUGGCGAUGGUGUUUUCCCGUGUACUCUUUGGUAGUGACCGGAGUGACAUGUAUGAAGUCACUGCCAUGCCAGCAAGACCGCAUUUAUGCACCUGUUGUGGUAACUUGGGCACACUUUCCCCAAACCACCCUUCCUCCUGUGUCACGAGGCCCAACUCACAUUCCCUUAGUCCCUGCGCCUUUGGUCAUCACGCCCAGAGUUGUAUAUGAUGGGGACAACGGACUCUUGUUCACACCACGCAAAAGGUGGCCUUCAGCUCAGGGUGUGUGACACGGGCUUCUUUGGAAAUGCAGGCCCACUGGCCUAAUGAACCUUUCGUAUUUAGGUGGUUUCCGUGUCAAACCAUCACCAACAGGGCAGACUUUAGUAACUGUCCUCUUCCAAGCCUUCUUCUCUCUUUUUCCUGUUUUAAUAACUUUCAAUACUUCUGUUUCUCCCUGGGCAUGAACUUUGGGUAGAGGGACCUCCAUUUUCCCGCCUUCUCUUCUCAUUUCUUCUUAAUCCUGUUGGAAAGUACUUUUGCUCUCUGUCCAGCAGAUAGGCAGGGACUGCUCCCUGUGGGAUCUUCUCGUCAUUCCUCUGCUUGGUGUUUCUCUUUCCAUGCGUCUUUUAAUAGUCUUUUUCAUUUGGUUUUGAGUCAUUUGUUUUGUUAUUUCAUGGUGGGCGGGCUUUUUUGAAUGUUCACAGGCCUUCUGACUUUCUUCCUCUUUUUCUCAUCGUAGUCUCCAAAUGAAAUCCAUAUCAUUUAUGCUGGGACUCAAUAUAUUCACGACACGAUGACAGUCAGGGAGCAGGCGUCCAAGACCUCCCAGGUGCCAAGAACCUCUCAACGUCUGGGUCUCGCUGGCCCACAAGCUAACUUCAUGAAGCCAUUCUGGUCUUUCUCACCCUUGUUCCCUCCCUUGGUGUAAGUAAGUUCGCUUAUUCUAGUCUCCUCAAACCGAAGCCCCCUCAGACCGCAGGAGACCAUCCUGUGUGUUGGGCACCUCAAUAUCUCCCCAAGUAUAACCUCACAUGAUGAAGCUGUGGUCACUCCUGGGAGAGCUUCCUCCACGAGGCUAAGUCCAUGGAUAAGUUCGCCCGUGUACUUGUCAGCAGCUGAUAGUGUCUGAGGACGCUAAUCCCAUUCUCCUGUCCAGGAGCAAUGUGGCAUCUGUGACAUGGCCUAGAAGUCCACCCUUUGACACGAGUCUAUCCCUGUGGCCAUAUGCUUGUUUUCAAAUCACUGUACCCGGAAAGCAUGUUUCUGUGUGGGAAAAGCCUGUGACCCACACUGGUGUUUCCUGAGAUUAAUUAUACAUCACAGAUCUUAAGUAAAGCAAGCUCUUCAACACCACCGGGAGAUGGCUCAGGAGAAAUCAGGGCAGCGGGGAUGAAGUGUCCUGAGUGUCUCCCUCCUCCUGUGAGCCUGCAGCACAGGCGAUCAGACCUAAAGCCUGUUUCCCAAUCCCUUCCUUUUCUGUCACAAUCACUGUGACGUCCUUACUCCAAGUAACCGACGAAGUCACUCUUUAGCCAUGUGUCCAAAAAAAAGCAACCGGCAUUUUCUGAAAACCUGUACUCCUAACCAAAGAGCUUUUUUAUUUUUAAAUGUUUAUUAACUUUUUGUUUUUUAAGAAAGGAGUUGCUGCAGCUUAAGCAGGCUUCACGCUUGCUGUGUGGCUGAGAAUGACCUUGCAUUUCUGAGCAUCCUGCUUCCGCCUUCCUCCUGCGGACACCACAGGUCUACACUCCACACCUAGUUUCAUGGGGUGCUAAGGAUGGACCCCAGGGCUAGGGCAGUCCAUCGCCCAACUGAGCCACUUCCCUGGCCUGCAGCUCAUAGUCUUCACAGCCUUACACACAUGCAGGUGUGUUCCGGCUCUGACUGAUCAGCCUGGGAUGGCCCAGAUGAGGACCACUGGGCUCUUCUCCAUGUGACCCCCAGCCCCCAGCCACUGUCCUGUGCUCGUCUUCUCGGUGGGCCAGAGUCUCUGGGGAGCAGAGGAGCACAGACCUAAGACAACCAAGCAAAGAGCCAGCAGCAGAUGUUACUGCCCUCCCACAGGCCAGGCCCCAUCUAGACGGACUCAUGUUCAGAUGAAGAAGUCGGUUUCACCUCUUGACCUAAGUAAAGUCGUCUUGGCUUAAAAAGUCUGGAACUCCUGACGACAGGAGUGGGAGUUUCUCUCUUCUCCUGCUCUCGGGACUCUUUUCUCCUGUUGGGCUCCCUUGUCCAGUUUCCACAGGAGGCUUUUGCUUUGUCUCACUGUAUCUGGUUUUGUCCUGUUUGGUUGUUGUCUCUGGGAGGCCUGUUCUUUUCUGAAGAGGAAACAGAGGUGGGGCAGGUGGAUCUGGGGGAACGGGGAAAGAGGCAAAACUGUGGUUGGGAUGUGUUGUAUGAGAGGAGAAUCUAUUUUCAAUAAAAACAAGUAACUAAAAAGAAAAGCUGCGGUGGUAGAGAGGCCGGAGACUUGGGGUCAUUUCCUGAAUCCCCCACACCCAUCCUUGCUUGGCGUCCUGAGCUAACGUCCUCCCAGAUCUUUACACGAGAGCGACUUAUAGCACAGUCCUGUGGGCGCCAUUUACUUAAGACUCCAGUGUGAGAGCAGUUCUCCUGAAACUGAAAUUUUCCCAAUGUACACAGUUCUCUCUGCCUACCCUCAGUUAGCCUGACUGUGUAAGGAGACAUCUGGGCUGCAUGACUUCUGCAUCCUUGACACAGUGGGCUCAAACACUCCACACCUAAGACCGAAGCAGGUCGCCCAUGAUGUCCUCGAAGAGGCGGUCCUCUGUUGCUAGCAUGCCUGUAAUAGAAGCCUGACAAACACAUUAUGUUUGAAUAAUUCUCUCUCUCUCUCUCUCUCUCUCUCUCUCUCUCUCUCUCUCUCUCUCUCCCCCUCUCUCUCCCUCCCUCCCUCCGUGUGUGUGUGUGUGUGUGUGUGUGUGUGUGUGUGUGUGUGUGUGUGUAUGUGUGUGUACAGGCACACACAGGUAUGUGGAGGUCAGUCAGAGGUCAACAUUGGGUGUCUUCCUCAAUCACUAUUUUUUGGGAUAGGGUUUCUCAUUGACUGUGGAACUCACUGAUUGAGCUAAGGCCCCUCCAGGUAUCCUCUGGUCUCCAGCCCCCAUCCAGACCUUGGAUUACAAGUAAGUGCCACCGUGCCCAGUUUUCACUGUAGGGCUUGCAGAUCAGAACCCUUUGGGCACGGCAAGCACGUUACCCACUGAGCCACUCCCCCACCCAGAUUAACUGAGCCAGUCCAUUUGGGAGGGGUUCUGUCGAUGUCCUGUGUGAACACCUCACUGCCCUGGCUGUGGGACUGCAGCACAGUGGGUUAGCAGCAUCAGCCCGGCUGGGGAGGCCACAGCUUAGGGCAGAGGCUGAGAACACAGUUUCUUAAGCUGACUGGCAGUGAGGGAGGACAGCAGGAAGCCACAGCAGCCCAGAGCCCUCUCUCUGUGGCACAGACAGAGCUGCCUGCCUUCCUUCCAACCAUGACUUAUGGCCUUUAGCCUGCGUGAAGCUCGAUCCGGGAAGCCUGAACUGCAGCAGCUGGGCAUCCAGCAGCAGCUGCACAGGGGCCUAGAGUUGAAUCUUGUGCCCUUCCCCAAAAUGACAGUGGUCUAUCCAGGAAAGGCAGGGAGGCAACCCCCAUCCUCCAAAAGAUAAAGUUACCAGAAUCCGACCCUUAAGAGAAUAAAGCAUUGUUUCUGGAUUUGGGUGGUUCUGUGGUUACACCCUAGAUUCUAGCUUCAGGGACAGAACAGCAGUUUCUCAACACCCAGCAUGUCUUCUCACUAGCCCUGGGGACACUCUGCUGGCCCCAAAGGCCACUCCUGCCCAUAAGGGCUGUGCAAACUGACACACAGUAAAGGCGGACAGAGGACCUAAAGUCAUGCAGCCCAAGAACUACAGCAUGAAUCCAAGUCUCCCUGGCCCUGGAAGACCUACAAGAACAGACCUUACAGAUCUCCAGGAAGGGACAAGAGACCCGGGGAGCGGCAGUAUCUGGCUUCCAUGUGGCAGAGUUGCAUACACAGAGCGACAGUGAGCCCUCCCCUCCAGCAAUCUUCCAUGGAAUCCUGGUUCAGAAGCUAAAAGUGACGAAGGACACACAGCCCUGCCCAGCCCCACACUGCAUCGCACAGGGACCAGUUAUGUGUGAGCAAAUAAACUGCUCACCCUCACGCCACUCCAGCCUCCCCUCGGUUGCUCACACCCAUGUGUACACUCGUGGUGGUGCAGAGACUCAAGAGCCGCUGACACGAUGUGCAAGCUUCACAGCAAGACUCAGACUACAGAGUCACUGCAGAGCCCACCCUCCUGGAGUCCAUGGGAAGGGGAGCCUGAGAGGACUGACACAGGCCUGCUGCCGAGGAGACACAGCCAAAGGAUGUACCCAGCAGGGCACCCCUACCAUCAGGCUAGGGCUGCGUGCAAACUGCACGAGAAGCCAUGACGCUGGCCACUGCUGCCACGGUCCUUCUGUAGGCCUACAGUGUUGCCCUUCCCUCCCCUGACCUCACCUGAACGGGACAGUGCCACAGGACCUAAUUCUUAGGUCAGACCCAAGGCACUCUAUGGUGUUCCAAUCUGGGUUGCAAGUUCCUGAAGGCCGUGACUAUUGAUCUCCCCUGAGACCGGGCAGACUCUCCCUUCUUCUUUGAAGCUGGGUGACCCGGGGGAAGAUGCCUGCCAUGCCAGUGUCCCCUUCUACAAAGUGAGCCCUCUCAAAGGUGCACUGAGGAAGUAAACGAGACACUGCGAUUAUGGGCAGGUGCUUUCUUAGCCGUAACGAAAGUUAAGCAGUUCUUGCAGACAGAGUACAGCAGGAAAGCUCUGGUCAUUCCUGAUGAUGGAAGGAAGGAUCCUACCAGGACAGCACACGAGGGACCCAGGCUCAGAGCUCUCUCAGCGACACCCCUGGGGGCACCAGUAGCCAUGAUUCCCACUCGCUUGUCCCAAGCUGGCUGUGUGUCCACAUGUGUCCACAUGAGUGUUCACACCUAGUGAGCAUGCAUGCACCUUUAUGCGUAUGUGCAUAUGUACAUGUGUGUGCUGCAGCAAGCUCACCUGCACACUCAUGUGCACAUGUGUGUGUGCACCUACACGAACAUACACACGUCCAGUGAAACACACACACCUUUGUACAUGUACAUUUAUGUGCGCUGCUGUGUGUACUGAGUUUGCACAUGCAUGUAUGCAUCCCACGUGGGUGUGCUUGGUGUGCUAGUGCGCAUACAUAUACCUUUAUGCAUGUAUUCUGUGUGUGUGCGUGCUUCUGUGUGGACCUAUGUGUGAACAUCCUUGUGUGCAUCUGUGUGUAUAUACAUGCACAUGCACACCAGCAAGUGUGCAUAUAGCUUUGCGUAUGUGCACAUGCAUGUGCGGCUGCCCAUUCACAUGUAGGUGGGUGUGCACAGCACAUGCCAAUACAAACACUUCUUUGUUUUCAGUCAGGAAAUCUCUCCAGAGUUCCAGAGUUAAACUGAAUUUAAGUGUUUUGGUUUGGUGUGAUUUUUUUUUUUUUUUUUUUUGGUAGAACAGGGCAGUUCCAGUUCACUCAUCCCCAGGCCUGAAACCCAAAACCACCUGCUAUGUUUGCUGGUUCUGGGCUAAGGCAGCACCCUGAAGUCACGUGCUGUUAAAGGAAACAGUGUGAGCUAUUGCAAAGUUCAGCAUGCAAGACUCUACUCCAGGCCAACUUGUGGCUGAGCUCUCAUUAAUGAUGGUCUGGAUGAAGUCUGUUUCCUAACUUUCCCCGAACGAACAGCCAGUCAACUGACGUGACUUCAUGAGAGUCACCGUGCUCCUUGUCUUCGUGAGAGCGACCAUGCUUCCCGGCUCCAUGAGAGCCACCGUGCUCCCCAUCUCCAUGAGAGUCACCGUGCUCCCCAUCUCCAUGAGAGCGCCCAUGUUCUCCGUUCUACACAACCUGCUCUGAGUGAUCAAGUCAUUAAUAAUGUCACCACAGCCACCACUGAGCAUGUGCUUGCUCGGUGACCAUGCCCAGAGGGAGUGCCACUCUUGAGUGGCCAUUUCUAUUGUCUGCUCACAUACCACAGAGACUUUCUCUUCCUAGCCCAAGGGAGAUAGCCUAUCUCUUCCUACCAGCUCCCAAGGCUGACCCAAAAGCAAAUCUUGCAUCAAACGAAAGAGCAGGCCUUUGAGAGGGUUCCUGGCUGCUGUAGGAACAGGAAGCACACACAGUCCAAGUCACGUGUCGGGAAGGUCAGGCCAGAUGUCCAUCUCGCCCAACAAAACCUGUCUUUCUGCCUCAUACUGUUCUUCCAUUUAGCGGUGCCUCCUCUUGUUCUAGACCCUUAAGGAAAACCUGCUAUUUCAGAUGUCGAGCCUGGUGCCUACAUAAAGCCUUCACCCCUAAGUUCCAGAGUCUCUGGUACCAAAGAGAUAUGUGAACGAACCAGCCAUGAACACGCCCCUUACAACGGUACCCUGCAAGAUGGGCUAGGGCAAUGCUGGCGCCACAAAGCUUGUGUGUGUAACCAACCAACGUCUGAUCUGAUUUAAGGCCCACGCCAGGAGAUGGAGCUCAAACUGCUUGGGUGACCAAGAACCUGAGACUAGACGGCCCAGGGGCCUAGGGUAAAAACCAAACACUACUGGUCUAAACAAAGAGGGGGGAAAUGUAGCCAUUGAUAAAAUGACGCCUGGCGAUACUUUUGUCGUAUCCAUAGAUCGGAUUUCUUGUUGAACCAACGCUAGAGAAGCUUCCUCCUGCAGCAGAAGGGAAUGAAGAGAGAGCACCUCAUCCUGCCAUGAUGCAAGGACUCUGGAACACUCAUCUCUCGGUAGCUGGAAUGUCUCCAUCCAAUCCCUCUCCCUCUCAGGGCUCAGGGAACCCUGCAGAAGAAGAUGGCGAAGACAUGGGGAAGACAGGAAUGGAGGACACCAAGAAAACACAGUCCUCUAGGUCAACAUAAGCAAAGCUCAAAUGAACUCAAUACUGGCGCUGCAUGCGUGGGGCCCAUGCCAGCCUACACCAGGUCCCUCCUCUGCUUCUGUAUUAUAGCUUUUCCUGUCAUCUUCAUGGGGCUCCGGGGUGCUGGGAUGGGCAGGUCUCUGGCACGGGACUCUUUUCCUUCUGUUGAUUUGUCUUCUCCAACUUUGAUGUGGCAGCUUUUGCUUUAUCUAAUUUUAGUCUAUAUUUUAAGGGAAUGAAUUAAUGAAUGGAUGAAAGCCUAGCAAGUAGGGUAAAGGCUAAUUAAUUAAUGAAAACCUAGCCAGAGCUGGAGAGAUGGCUCAGCAGUUAAGAGCGCUGACUGCUCUUCCAGAGGUCCUGAGUUCAAUUCCCAGCAACCACAUGGUGGCUCACAACCGUCUGUAAUGGGAUCUGAUGCCCUCUUUUGGUGUGGCUGAAGACAGCGACAGUGUAUUUACAAACAUAAAAUAAAUAAAUCUUUUAAAAAAGUAAAAUCUCACAUGAAAGCUCAAGGAAAAAACAGAUACAAAUAAUAAAUUUAAAAAAAUAAAAGCCUAGCCGCUGGAGUAAAGGUUAACAACUGAGCUGCUAGGAAAGGGGAAGUCAGUUCUCUCCAAUGGAGUGACACCAGGUACAUCAACCUCUCAGGGCAGGUCGCAUGUCCAGGAGUAGCCGACCAACAUAUAACAGACUCUACCGUUUUACUGUCUGGAGCCCGUUAUUUUGUUUGGUUACAGUUUGUGGGGUUGCCCUGCCUUUGAGAUAUUGUUUAAUUUUGUUUUCUUAGUUUUUUGAGGGGAAGGUGAAGUUGUUGUGCUGGGGUUUUGCUCUUGGAGAAAGGUUUUAAAGUUGGGGGUGAGGAUCUAGAAGGACUGGGGAGAGGGAAAGGGUAUAAUUAACAUAUAUCUAAAUUUAAAAACUGUUUUAGGUAAUUAAAAAUGCCAAAAGUUAGCUCCCACAAUGUGAAGUAGGUAAGAAAGUUCUUCACAGGUUGAUUGAGGUAGACUGUGGUUUUCUACCUCAUACAUGGGGGGUCCCAGCCCCCAGGACCACAGAAUGUGGUUUUAUCUGGUGAUGGUCAUUCCGGAUGUAAUUGAGGAGAUGCCCUCAUACUGGGUAGGGUACCUAGAGUAGAUCUGGACAGAACAGAUUUGGCCACAGAGAGAACUUCAUCAAGCAGUUGUGUUUCCAGAAACUAGAGAUCUCUGGCCAUGUGAGGAAGGCCUGGGCAGGUGCCCCAGCACAUGCAGGAAGCACACGCCACACCUUGAUCACAAACUUCUGGCCUCCAGACCAUGAGACAAAUGCAUAUCCCGGGGGGGACCCCUGAUUUCAAACACACUCUCAAAUCCUGGUGACUCCAGAUCUCCCACAGAGAACACCAUGUGCCCUGCAUACAGUUUCCCUAACCCACUCAGGGUCACACAGUAGGAACAAAGUUCCCUGGAGGUUUUCAUGGCAAUUAAGUAACUUUGCACACUGCAUUCACAGCAGAAUUAAAAGAGCAUCUUAGCAUAUGCUUGGUGGCUUUCUCUCCUCUAAAAUCCCUGCAUCUAGGGUGUGCCUCCUUUGACAAGAUAACCCAGAAAUGUCUGAAGGGCGGGGGGGGGGGUGUUGCCAGGAUGGUGCUGCUGGGGCUCAGGGACAUGGUAGCUAAGGCAGGAUUGGGAUCAGAAGAGGGAGGGAACGGGAUGUGGGACCAGCUCAGGGUCUGGUUCUCCCCAGAACAAUCAAAGAGCAAGACCUUGAUCCCCAGAGUUGAGGUGACUUGCCAAUCCCAGCUUUCCUCUUUCCUGCAACCAAGAGCUAAGGCAGGCAGCAGCAAGCAGCCUCUUACCGCCAGUCUGGAGCUCUCCCCCCGCCCCAUCUCCAAAGAGAAGAAGAAACGCAGAGGCUUCCAGGAAAGGGACCCUGACCCACCAUUUUCUUUGCCUGAGCUGGAGCCUAAAGAAUGUCCCGUCCCCGCUAGCCAACCCCAUUGUGAAACAGAACAGGACGUGCUCUUAAUAAAAGACACAUGGAAAGUCUUCAUUCUGCACGCGUUCCCAGGCCUGAACCUCAUUUUAAACUUAUGAACUUGCAAAAAGGAAGUCCCACACUGCUCACAAUCUGCCGGUGUCAGCAUGUCCGAGUAGCAAUGGGUCCAGCUAAGACCCUUGGAGUGCCACACCAACGUUCAGCUCCAUCUCCUUUUUAAGGAGAGAGGCCCUUCCUCUUGGCAUUCCGCCCUGCGAGCGAAAGCUGCCCCACGCAUGUGCUUUGAGACAAAUGUGAUUACACAGGCACUGCUAAACGCAGAUGACUUCAUGGCAGAUGCAAGCUCAUGGAGUCCAGUACUUCAGACACUUUACUCCCUCACCCCAGAGCCAGGGAGUAUCUGUACGGGGUCAUCAGCCUUCACAAAAGGAGACAAAACACCAACCCAAGAAAUUCCCACUCGGCUGUAGUCUCAGAGUGUUUGGGGCCACCGGUCUGGCUGCCGGAGGCUAACCUCUUUUAUUCAUCUCUCUGUCUCUCUCUGUCUCUGUCUCUGUCUCUGUCUCUGUGUCUCUGUCUCUCUGUCUCUUUGUCUCUCUCUGUCUUUCUGUCUCUCUGUCUCUUUGUCUCUCUCUGUCUUUCUCUCUGUCUCUGUCUCUGUGUCUCUGUCUCUCUCUGUCUCUCUCUGUCUUUCUCUCUGUCUCUGUCUCUCUGUGUCUCUCUGUGUCUCUCUCUGUCUCUGUGUUUCUCUCUGUGUCUCUCUCUGUCUCUGUCUCUGUGUCUCUCUAUCUGUCUCUGUCUGUCUCUGUCUGUCUCUCUCUGUCUCUCUCUGUCUUUCUCUCUGUCUCUGUCUCUGUGUCUCUGUCUCUCUCUGUCUCUCUGUCUCUCUCUGUCUUUCUCUCUGUCUCUGUCUCUCUCUGUCUCUGUGUCUCUCUCUGUGUCUCUCUGUGUCUCUCUGUCUCUCUGUCUCUCUCUGUCUCUCUCUGUCUCUCUCUCUGUCUCUCUCUGUCUCUCUGUCUCUCUCUGUCUCUCUCUCUCGUCAGAAAUGAAAGAGCCACUACAGCUUCCUUAGGAAACCUUCCUAGAAUUUAAAACAGAAUAUGAAUCUUGAAGUUUGCCCGACCAUAUUAAUGCUGCAAACACGGCAAGUGCGGUGCGGAGUGACGGGGACAUGUCUGUUGACAUGGCCCAGGAAUCUUGUUACAGCUUCACCUCGGAAACGGAGCAGGGCUUUCUUUAAGCCUGUUUUGGAGAACCUUAGCAUGUAUCUCACUCAGACAUCUGUCUUUUAUUAUCAAGGGGCACCAACAGCCAGAUGACAGCAGCCGGGUUUUCUCGGUGCCUGGAAAGUCAGACCCUUGCUCUUCAGUCUUCCCAUCUUAACUCAGUGAUCUGCCUCAUUGAUAAACAGCUUUUCCCACAUCAGUUAGUCCUUCUUAGAUGCAUGUCCUUUUCAUAAUAAUGUUCAGGAAAAUACCUAAAACCUGUGGUACCCAUGCAGAACUCAUGUUAAAUGUUUUCUGACUGACACUGCAGCAUGCCAAUUUAUGAAUAAAAUUACGAUGUCUGCUUUUUCAGGUCACUUAAUACACACUAACAAAUUGUCCUGCCUAGGGCCUGGGCGUGUGCAUGUGUGUCUGUGUGUGUGCGUGCGCGCAUGCGUGUGUGCGUGUGUGCAUGCAUGCGUGUGUGUGCGUGUGCAUGUGUGUGCGUGUGCAUAUAUGUGUGUGUGUCUGUGCGUGUGUGUGCAUGUGUGUGCGUGUGUGUAUAUGCAUGUGUGCGUGCGUGCGCGUGCGUGCGUGUGUGUGCGUGUGUGUGUGUGUGUGUGUGCGCGCACGCGCGCUCCAUUAAGGAAUGCUACUUCUUCCUAAUUAUGGGGAACUUCCAUUUCUGUAUUCAACAUCUUUUAAGUUACUAAGGAUCUCAAGUUUUCUUGUAAACUGUGUAUUGGCAUAAUCUUGGACACGGGACUUUAGUAUUUUUUUUUACUUUGACCUAUAAAAGCUGGCUGUUCUUAGAAGCGCUCCCAACCCCUGACCCUGCCUGCUCUGUGAGCUUGCAGAUGAAAACAAACUUUGGUCACCCAGAGCUGCGGUCAAGGUUCACACUGCAGCGCCAGGGAGCCACCAGCCUGCAGCAGCAAGUAGACUGCUCCAAACAUAGCAGGCACUGAAGAUGAAAAUUCCGAUCCAUCCCCCAAAAAGUCCGGGCUUUAAUACCCUGUGUGCGCUGUUCUGCAGGCUUGAAUGAGUGAGGAAUCCCCUUGAUAGGGAAAGCGGUAAGUCAUUUAAUAGCUCGGCCCUCGCUUGGCUUUUGAUGCAUCCUUUAAACAUGCCCAGCCACCGGUCCAUUCAACGCAAGGGUGAGACUGCAAAGCCAGCGACGAAAACCGUUCAAACAAAGCCAUCGCAGAAAGCUUCGCGGCACAGAGAUGAGGUUUUCUGAUCGGUGUUGGCGAGGGGCGAAGCCGACCUCCCAACUUCACAUUAGGGUGGAGCAGAACCCUACCGCCGCCCGCACAGCCAACUCUCCUUCUCGUGACCCCGAGCCGGCCCCGAGCGUCACCGCGGCCCCCUCUGCUGUCUGUGCUCACAGGGCGGGUCCCCUUCCCGGAUCCCCGCACACAAUGGCGCCCCGAACUCCCGCCGCCGGUCCCCGCGCCUGGCGCGCCGCCGGGUCCG